UUGCUUUGGCGGCACAUAUACUAAAACUGGAAAAAUACAGAGAAGAUUAGCAUAGUCCCUGAACAAAGAUGACAUGCAAAUUCAUGAAGCAUUCCAUAGAUUU
Molecule: small nuclear RNA, 103 nt
Organism: Pan paniscus (pygmy chimpanzee)
Lineage: Eukaryota; Metazoa; Chordata; Mammalia; Primates; Hominidae
Source: Ensembl